GUGGGGAAUAUUGGACAAUGGGCGAAAGCCUGAUCCAGCCAUGCCGCGUGUGUGAAGAAGGUCUUCGGAUUGUAAAGCACUUUAAGUUGGGAGGAAGGGCAGUAAGUUAAUACCUUGCUGUUUUGACGUUACCGACAGAAUAAGCACCGGCUAACUUCGUGCCAGCAGCCGCGGUAAUACGAAGGGUGCAAGCUUUAAUCGGAAUUACUGGGCGUAAAGCGCGCGUAGGUGGUUUUGUAAGUUGGAGGUGAAAUCCCCGGGCUCAACCUGGGAACUGCCUCCAAAACUGCAUGACUAGAGUACGGUAGAGGGUAGUGGAAUUUCCUGUGUAGCGGUGAAAUGCGUAGAUAUAGGAAGGAACACCAGUGGCGAAGGCGACUACCUGGACUGAUACUGACACUGAGGUGCGAAAGCGUGGGGAGCAAACAGGAUUAGAAACCCUAGUAGUCC
This 450-nucleotide ribosomal RNA is filed under the name uncultured bacterium. RNAcentral's name for it is "partial 16S ribosomal RNA". It matches the Rfam family "Bacterial small subunit ribosomal RNA", at positions 354 to 796 of the family's 1533-position model. The record is from RNAcentral.